GGAGGCUCUAUUGGAGGUUAUCACCACUGCAUACAAACCAACGGCUCAGGUUGGGACGCAUUCAUAGCCAUAUCAAGCACAAACUAGGAAUAAUAUAAAUCAUAUGAGGAAAAAAUAAUUUCAUUCUUAAAACGGCUUAAUUUUAAUGCACCGAAUACAAUAAUCAUGGUCAUAGUCUCUGCUGUAUUAAGUCAAACUCAUCAGGGUAUUCGGUUAAAUCUCAAACCUGAAGCAUGUAUCUUCUUCUCCUACUAUAAUGCCGAAUGAAGGUCCAUUACCAGCUAAAAAAGUCCAAGAACUUUGAUUCCUGCAAGUCGUAGCAAUGGAAUGGAGCACA
RNAcentral lists this unclassified non-coding RNA (337 nucleotides) under Hevea brasiliensis (rubber tree). Lineage: Eukaryota; Viridiplantae; Streptophyta; Magnoliopsida; Malpighiales; Euphorbiaceae. The record is from RNAcentral.